UGGGGAAUUUUGGACAAUGGGGGCAACCCUGAUCCAGCAAUGCCGCGUGAGUGAAGAAGGCCUUCGGGUUGUAAAGCUCUUUUGUCAGGGAAGAAACGGUGAGGGCUAAUAUCCUUUGCUAAUGACGGUACCUGAAGAAUAAGCACCGGCUAACUACGUGCCAGCAGCCGCGGUAAUACGUAGGGUGCAAGCGUUAAUCGGAAUUACUGGGCGUAAAGCGUGCGCAGGCGGAUAUGUAAGUCAGAUGUGAAAUCCCCGGGCUCAACCUGGGAAUGGCAUUUGAGACUGCAUGGCUAGAGUGUGUCAGAGGGGGGUAGAAUUCCACGUGUAGCAGUGAAAUGCGUAGAGAUGUGGAGGAAUACCGAUGGCGAAGGCAGCCCCCUGGGAUAACACUGACGCUCAUGCACGAAAGCGUGGGGAGCAAACAGG
This 429-nucleotide ribosomal RNA is filed under the name Actinomycetes bacterium. RNAcentral's name for it is "Actinobacteria bacterium partial 16S ribosomal RNA". It matches the Rfam family "Bacterial small subunit ribosomal RNA", at positions 355 to 776 of the family's 1533-position model. The record is from RNAcentral. Lineage: Bacteria; Bacillati; Actinomycetota; Actinomycetes.